UCGUGAAGUGAUUUGUUUGGUUGAUUCCGUUAACGAACGAGAUCUCAUCCGCUUACUAGGGCUGCUCCCGAUUUACGUGUGCGACUCGGCAGUUCGCUGUUGGAGGAGCACACAAGGGGGUGGUACCUUCUCAGCGGCACCUGGCGUGCUUUGCAGCACCAUGGAGCGAGCCAAUAGCA
Molecule: ribosomal RNA, 179 nt
Filed under: uncultured eukaryote
Lineage: Eukaryota
Description: partial 18S ribosomal RNA
Rfam family: Eukaryotic small subunit ribosomal RNA
Source: RNAcentral